This 408-nucleotide unclassified non-coding RNA is filed under the name soil metagenome. RNAcentral's name for it is "partial contains 5.8S ribosomal RNA, internal transcribed spacer 2, and large subunit ribosomal RNA". The stretch from base 1 to 120 matches the Rfam family "5.8S ribosomal RNA", at positions 35 to 154 of the family's 154-position model. The record is from RNAcentral.
GAUGAAGAACGUAGCGAAAUGCGAUAAGUAAUGUGAAUUGCAGAAUUCAGUGAAUCAUCGAAUCUUUGAACGCACCUUGCGCUCCUUGGCAUUCCGAGGAGCAUGCCUGUUUGAGUGUCAUUAAAUUCUCAAGACCUGUCUGCUUUUUUGAUAGGUAUUGGAUUUUGGGGGUUGCAGGCUGUUUCAAAUAAAUAGCCUUGCUCUCCUUGAAUGUAUUAGUGGAGAAAAGCCAUUGAACUCCAUUAGUGUGAUAAAACCUAUCAAUGCCAGGAGCAAUAUCACUACUUCUCUCUGCUGUCUAACUGUGACUGUCUGUAUUAAUUAGUAUGGAUGGGGACAACUUGACCAACUUGACCUCAAAUCAGGUAGGACUACCCGCUGAACUUAAGCAUAUCAAUAAGCGGAGGA